GGCUGGUUAGCUCAGUCAGUUGAGCGUGGCGCUAACAACACCAAGGUCGCGGGUUCGAUUCCCGUUCUAUCCC
RNAcentral lists this transfer RNA (73 nucleotides) under Apaloderma vittatum (bar-tailed trogon). It matches the Rfam family "tRNA". From Rfam's summary of the family: Transfer RNA (tRNA) molecules are approximately 80 nucleotides in length. Their secondary structure includes four short double-helical elements and three loops (D, anti-codon, and T loops). The record is from Rfam by way of RNAcentral. Lineage: Eukaryota; Metazoa; Chordata; Aves; Trogoniformes; Trogonidae.